UGGGCUUCCGUAACAUCCUCACCUUCGACGACAAAGAUAUUUCGACGGAGUACUCAGCGUUGAUGAGCAAGGUGAUGAGUAACGGAAACGGCUUCGUCAAGUUUCCGAUUAACGAGCCAGCGGAAGGCAAAAAGAAAUCACAAGUGGAAGAAUACCUCGACUUUUACGAUGGCGAAGGCGUGCAGCACAUCGCAAUGGCGGCAAACAACAUCAUUGAAACGGUGACCGAUCUUCAGAAUCGCGGACUAGAGUUCCUUAAAGUGCCUUCGAGUUAUUACGACACGCUGCUCGAUCGCGUGGGUCA
RNAcentral lists this unclassified non-coding RNA (304 nucleotides) under fungal sp. Its description in RNAcentral is "partial internal transcribed spacer region". Lineage: Eukaryota; Fungi. The record is from RNAcentral.